This 253-nucleotide ribosomal RNA is filed under the name uncultured bacterium. RNAcentral's name for it is "partial 16S ribosomal RNA". It matches the Rfam family "Bacterial small subunit ribosomal RNA", at positions 524 to 776 of the family's 1533-position model. The record is from RNAcentral.
UACGUAGGGUGCAAGCGUUGUCCGGAAUUAUUGGGCGUAAAGAGCUCGUAGGCGGUCUGUCACGUCGGCUGUGAAAUCCCGAGGCUCAACCUCGGGUCUGCAGUCGAUACGGGCAAACUAGAGUAUCGCAGGGGAGACUGGAAUUCCUGGUGUAGCGGUGAAAUGCGCAGAUAUCAGGAGGAACACCGGUGGCGAAGGCGGGUCUCUGGGCAAUAACUGACGCUGAGGAGCGAAAGCGUGGGGAGCGAACAGG